This 427-nucleotide ribosomal RNA is filed under the name uncultured Acidobacteriota bacterium. Its description in RNAcentral is "bacterial SSU rRNA". It matches the Rfam family "Bacterial small subunit ribosomal RNA", at positions 958 to 1385 of the family's 1533-position model. The record is from RNAcentral. Lineage: Bacteria; Pseudomonadati; Acidobacteriota.
AACGCGAAGAACCUUACCUGGGCUUGAACCGCACAGGACCAGCUUUAGAAAUAGAGCCUUCCCGCAAGGGACCUGUGUAGAGGUGCUGCAUGGCUGUCGUCAGCUCGUGCCGUGAGGUGUUGGGUUAAGUCCCGCAACGAGCGCAACCCUUACUCUUAGUUGCCACCCGCAAGGGGGAACUCUAAGAGGACUGCUCCGGAUAACGGAGAGGAAGGUGGGGAUGAGGUCAAGUCAGCAUGGCCUUUAUGUCCAGGGCUACACACGUGUUACAAUGCGCGCCACAAAGCGUUGCAAACCCGCGAGGGGGAGCUAAUCGCAAAAAAGCGCGCUCAGUUCGGAUUGCAGUCUGCAACUCGACUGCAUGAAGCCGGAAUCGCUAGUAAUGGCGCAUCAGAACGGCGCCGUGAAUACGUUCCCGGGCCUUGUA